UACGUAUGGUGCAAGCGUUAUCCGGAUUUACUGGGUGUAAAGGGAGCGUAGACGGAGUGGCAAGUCUGAUGUGAAAACCCGGGGCUCAACCCCGGGACUGCAUUGGAAACUGUCAAUCUAGAGUACCGGAGAGGUAAGCGGAAUUCCUAGUGUAGCGGUGAAAUGCGUAGAUAUUAGGAGGAACACCAGUGGCGAAGGCGGCUUACUGGACGGUAACUGACGUUGUGGCUCGAAAGCGUGGGGAGCAAACAGG
RNAcentral lists this ribosomal RNA (253 nucleotides) under Mediterraneibacter faecis JCM 15917. RNAcentral's name for it is "[Ruminococcus] faecis JCM 15917 partial 16S ribosomal RNA". It matches the Rfam family "Bacterial small subunit ribosomal RNA", at positions 524 to 776 of the family's 1533-position model. The record is from RNAcentral. Lineage: Bacteria; Bacillati; Bacillota; Clostridia; Lachnospirales; Lachnospiraceae.